RNAcentral lists this long non-coding RNA (250 nucleotides) under Homo sapiens (human). RNAcentral describes it as "non-protein coding lnc-FER-11:1". Lineage: Eukaryota; Metazoa; Chordata; Mammalia; Primates; Hominidae. The record is from RNAcentral.
GGACUGAGAAUAAAAAUUAUUUUGCAGAUGGGGCUACCAGAGGAUAUUUGUCAUGGGCUUAAGAUUAUUUCAUGAAGAUUCACACUGAAACACAGCUCUUCCUGGGUCAUGAGCCUGCUGGUCUUCAGAUUGGAACUACACUAUCAGCUUUCCUGUGUCUCCAGCUUGCUGACUGUGAAUCUUUGGACUUGGGACUUGUCAGCCUCCAUAAUUUAUUGAGCCAAUUUGGUAUAAUAAAUCUCUCUCUCCC